GCUCAGGAUGAACGCUAGCUACAGGCUUAACACAUGCAAGUCGAGGGGUAGCAGGGUAGCAAUACCGCUGACGACCGGCGCACGGGUGAGUAACACGUAUCCAACCUUCCCAUGACUCAGGGAUAGCCUUUCGAAAGAAAGAUUAAUACCUGAUAGUACUUUUUUAAGGCAUCUUGAAAAAGUUAAAGAUUUAUCGGUUAUGGAUGGGGAUGCGUUCCAUUAGAUAGUUGGUGAGGUAACGGCUCACCAAGUCUUCGAUGGAUAGGGGUUCUGAGAGGAAGGUCCCCCACAUUGGUACUGAGACACGGACCAAACUCCUACGGGAGGCAGCAGUGAGGAAUAUUGGUCAAUGGGCGAGAGCCUGAACCAGCCAAGU
RNAcentral lists this ribosomal RNA (376 nucleotides) under uncultured Bacteroidales bacterium. RNAcentral describes it as "bacterial SSU rRNA". It matches the Rfam family "Bacterial small subunit ribosomal RNA", at positions 22 to 397 of the family's 1533-position model. The record is from RNAcentral. Lineage: Bacteria; Pseudomonadati; Bacteroidota; Bacteroidia; Bacteroidales.